GGGCCGGUGGUCUAGCGGUUAUGACGCAUCGUUUACACCGAUGAAGUCGCAGGUUCGAUUCCUGCCCGGCCCA
RNAcentral lists this transfer RNA (73 nucleotides) under uncultured archaeon. RNAcentral's name for it is "tRNA-Val(tac)". It matches the Rfam family "tRNA". From Rfam's summary of the family: Transfer RNA (tRNA) molecules are approximately 80 nucleotides in length. Their secondary structure includes four short double-helical elements and three loops (D, anti-codon, and T loops). The record is from RNAcentral.